GACUCCGGUGGUGGCACUCCUGAUAUUACUCAGGACGGGGUUCAAUUCCCUGCGAGGUC
Small RNA from Hucho hucho (huchen), 59 nucleotides. Lineage: Eukaryota; Metazoa; Chordata; Actinopteri; Salmoniformes; Salmonidae. The record is from Ensembl.